RNAcentral lists this ribosomal RNA (464 nucleotides) under uncultured bacterium. RNAcentral describes it as "partial 16S ribosomal RNA". It matches the Rfam family "Bacterial small subunit ribosomal RNA", at positions 339 to 795 of the family's 1533-position model. The record is from RNAcentral.
CUACGGGCGGCUGCAGUGAGGAAUAUUGCACAAUGGGCGCAAGCCUGAUGCAGCCAUGCCGCGUGUAUGAAGAAGGCCUUCGGGUUGUAAAGUACUUUCAGCGGGGAGGAAGGGAGUAAAGUUAAUACCUUUGCUCAUUGACGUUACCCGCAGAAGCAGCACCGGCUAACUCCGUGCCAGCAGCCGCGGUAAUACGGAGGGUGCAAGCGUUAAUCGGAAUUACUGGGCGUAAAGCGCACGCAGGCGGUUUGUUAAGUCAGAUGUGAAAUCCCCGGGCUCAACCUGGGAACUGCAUCUGAUACUGGCAAGCUUGAGUCUCGUAGAGGGGGGUAGAAUUCCAGGUGUAGCGGUGAAAUGCGUAGAGAUCUGGAGGAAUACCGGUGGCGAAGGCGGCCCCCUGGACGAAGACUGACGCUCAGGUGCGAAAGCGUGGGGAGCAAACAGGAUUAGAUACCCGCGUAGUC